ACUGCUGUAGUGGAGUGCGGGGGGGGGGGGGCGUGGAGGGGCGCGUGCCCGGCUGGCCUUUCCCGCCACGUGCCCUUCUCAGUCCAACAGCAAGCACUGCGAAAUCCGCCGCCGUGAGAGCCAACCCGAGCUUUCUCCAUCUCGGGGCCACAGCUGGGCCUCUGCUAGCGUCGGAACCCCGCCGAGAGUGAGACCAGCUGCCGUCAACUCGGGUGCCUGGAGACACGGCUGGCACACGUCUGUGUGCCCAGCCAGCCCCAGGCUGUCUGCCUCAGCCGCCCACUUUGGCCUCCACAGUCCCCGAUCCAUGCAGGUCAGGAACCGGGCAGUGCGGUUGCAGUGAACUUGGACUCGAGCCGCCUUACCCUUAUCACGCAGUACCGUCGCAGGCGCAGCCAUCUGAAUCCUUGUCCCCCUUCCUUCAUAAAUGUUAUCUUCAGUCCACCCCAUCAAAGCAGCCUGGACCGUAAACAGCAAGUCCUGUUGGUCUUCCAAAAAGACAUGUGUUAUGUUGCAUGUAUGUGUGUGUCGUGUGUGUGUGUGUGUGUGUGUUUUGCUGGGAUUUGAACCAGCGCCAUACCCCUGCUAGGCAGCUCUUUAUUAUUGCAAAAUAAUAUAGCAUCUUUAAUCCUGUGACUUUUGGUUUUCUCCACUGCUGAACUCCUCCAAGCCACUUUUUGUUUGUAGUUGCUGACAGCAGUAGACAUAUAUUCCCUUCCAGUCUGGAGACCAGUAGCAAAGUCUGGACUCAGUGCCCUACACGGACUAUAGGGGAGACUUCUAUGCUUGCCUCCUCCAGCUUCUGGCAUUCCCUAACUUGUGGACAUUUCACUAUAGUCUCUCACUGUGUGGCCACAUUGCCACCUCUUCUAUCUCAAAUUGUUACUCUGCUUCUAACUAGAAGGAUUUUUGGAAGAACAUUUAAAGUCUCCUGGAUAAUCGCAGAUAUUUCCCCAUUUCAGUAUCCUAAAACAGUCACAUCUGACAGAAGUCCCAUCUGUGUUCCCAUAGUUUGUGUGCCAGUAACUCAACGUUCUUGUCUGGUAUAAGACAGUAAGGAAGAUCACUUAGCCUAAUUCCAGAUACUUCACUGAUUAAUGAAGGUGUAACCUUUACAUCAGAAGAGCAGAAUGCCAUAGGGAACACACAAGAAAACCAGAAAAACCCCACUUUCUCAUUUCUCCUCAUAGUCUCUUCAUAGAUACUGUAAAAUUCUAGUUUCCCUGUUCCUUGAAUGAAAUCACAGAUGCCAUGAUUCUGGUUUACUCUUUGCCUUUUAGUGACCUCAGGGCAUUAUGAGACCCUGAACUAUGUUUUAGUAUCUACUUACAAAGGCUAACUUGAAGUUGUGUUUAUUUUUUUUUUAUCACUGUUCUAAUUUUUGUAUUUUGUCCCUUUUACUGUAAUUUCUGUCUUGCUCCAUCUUUUCUCUCCUGUGGCCCUUUCAUUGGUACUUGCCCCCCCUUCUCUCCUCUUGACUUCUCCCCCCCCCACUCCCCCACCCUUUUUUUUUUUUUUUUUUUUUUUUUGCCUCCUUGUUGCAUCUCCUUCUUCUGAACUUGUAAAGUUUUAUAUUUGGGCCAAAAAUGGAUCCAGUUGUUCAUUGUCUGUCAUCUGCUGUCACCAUGUCUAUAUAGAAGAAUUUGUGAGUUAUGAACAUUUUGAAGACCUUCCUCCUAAUCAGUUCUGGUGGUGGCUAGUGUACCUGUGUGUGUGUGUUUAUUCCUCUUCUAGUGUGCACUCACGCACUUGUAAACUUGCAGUCCUCCUACCUGCAGAGUGCUGGGAUUUCAGGUGUGCAUCUGAUUGUAUUCCCAAGAUCUCCUUUGUUUCUCCCCACCAGGACUGGAUAGUUUUUUGCUUUCCCCAGCCUGCUCAUUUAGUUAGUGAUAACUGAAGCUCUUUUGCAGUGAGAAUGGGGAAGCUGGUUGGAAGUUGAGGAUUUUCCUGUCCUCAUCGUCAGUCUGCAGUCUACUCAGGGAGCACCUGAAACAGCUUGUGCUGUACAUCGAAUGUGAAGCCAGAAGCAGAGUCUUCUUAAUCCAGUGUGGGGCUUCAUGCCUCAUCAGCACAACUGCCCUUGGGCUACAUUUAGGCUUCCCAGGAACUCGUGGUGAGAGUAAUCACCACACUGUACUCCAGACUCUAAUGAAAAGUGUGCUGCAUGACAGGCUUCUCUAAGAACCCUGGGAACUUAUGUGUAAAUAGGUCCCCAUCAGUUUCCCUCCCACUGUCUUUUUCUACUUAGAAGUCCUGGGAAAGAAGGGAGAAAGGAAGUCUACUAAUCUCCAGCAGUAGAAUGAGGGGUGAAGUCAGGCAUGCUGUUGCAUGCACUUGUAAUUCCCAUACUCUUGGAGGCUGUAGUAGAAGGACUGCAAGUCUGAGCCCAGGCUGGACAAUUAGGUGAGACCUUGUCUCGGGAAAAAAAAAAAAGGCUGGGACUGUAGCUUGGUGCAUAGGCCUGGAUCAACCUCCAGUACGGAAAGACAGGGAAAAAAAACAAGUCUCAAGUUUAUACAGGAUUGCAGAAACUGCCAGAGACAAUCUUGAAGAAAGAGCAGAUUUGGAGGACUCACAAGACUUACUGCAAAACUACAACCAAAGUAAUCAAAACUAUGUCCCUGGCAUAAAGAUAACAUGGAGAACAAUGGAACAGAGGGAAAAAAAAACCCUAGAAAUGGUCUGGUUUGAACCAUGGGAGAAAGUACUCUCUUCAACAAAUACUGCUGGAAUGACUGCAUGUUGAUAGGUGGGGUCUUGCAAAGUGAUGGAAUCCUGGUGAGCACACCGCGCAGCCGCGUGGUGAGGAGGUGGAGUCUGGUAGGAAGAGGUGGUCACUGGGGCGUGGCCUGGAAGGAUUCAUCUUCCUUUCCUCCCUCUCUCCUCUUUGAUUGUGCUUUCUGGCCUCCAUGAUGUGAGCUGCUAUCUUUCAUCAGGCUCUUCCUGCCGUGGAGCCAGCCAACUACGUACUGAAAAGGUAAGCCAAGAUACAGCUGUCCUUUAAGUUGUAGAUGUCUAGUAUAGUGGUUCAGAGGCCAGGAAAGUGACUUAAGGCAUUCGCAGGGAUGGAAGGCAGAUUGGUGCUUGCCACAGGGAAGGAGAAAGGGGAGGAGGACUGGGGACUAUUUAAUAGAUACAGGAUCUCCAUUUAAGAUGACAAAAGCAGGGUCUGGGGAUGUAGUUCAGCAGCAUAGUAUGAGUUUGUGAGUUUGAUCCUUGGUACCCAAAAAAAUAGUGUGAAAUAAAUACAGAUGGUGUUUGUACAAGAUUGUAAAUGUGCUAAAUGCCACUGAAUUGUUUAGAGCACUAAUUUUGUGUUAUGUUUAACCUCAAUAAAAAAUACAAAAACA
Cavia porcellus (domestic guinea pig) is the source of this 3350-nucleotide long non-coding RNA. RefSeq lists it as uncharacterized. The record is from RefSeq and is a predicted model, not a curated record. The transcript has 2 exons. NCBI's taxonomy places the organism in Eukaryota, Metazoa, Chordata, Mammalia, Rodentia, Caviidae.